This 450-nucleotide long non-coding RNA is filed under the name Theobroma cacao (cacao). Its description in RNAcentral is "long non-coding RNA (TCAC_LNC001572)". The record is from RNAcentral. Lineage: Eukaryota; Viridiplantae; Streptophyta; Magnoliopsida; Malvales; Malvaceae.
ACUAGUUAGGUGUUUUAGAGAGAGAAAGAGGUGUUGGAAAGAAUUUCAAAGUUUUAAAGUUAUUAAGGUGAGUAGAAAAUUUGAGUUGAAAUUUUAGUGUUGAGAAUGACUAGAGAUUUGAUUUGAGAAUAUUUUGUAGUUGAGAUUGUUAAUUCACUUUGGAAUGAUAGGAUAGUGAAAAUGGAUAGGCAUUUAAUGGCCAUUUGAAGUAAGCUAAGAGAAAGCUUUUGGACUCUAUAAGUAUGUGAAUUAACAUAAUUGUGAUGUUAAUGUGAUGAUAGGUUCCAACGAAGCCACACCAUCCCAAUUGGACCAUUAAGGAAGUUAGAGUUAGUUAAAGGCUCAAUAAACACCGGUGAGUGGACUUGCAUGUUAAAAAUUGUUUUGGGAAUGUAAACUUAUUUGGACUAUAUACUUGAAUGAUUUUAUUCAACUUUCCUUAAAAACGAG